Molecule: transfer RNA, 68 nt
Filed under: pig gut metagenome
Rfam family: tRNA
About the family: Transfer RNA (tRNA) molecules are approximately 80 nucleotides in length. Their secondary structure includes four short double-helical elements and three loops (D, anti-codon, and T loops). Further hydrogen bonds mediate the characteristic L-shaped molecular structure. tRNAs have two regions of fundamental functional importance: the anti-codon, which is responsible for specific mRNA codon recognition, and the 3' end, to which the tRNAs corresponding amino acid is attached (by aminoacyl-tRNA synthetases). tRNAs cope with the degeneracy of the genetic code in two manners: having more than one tRNA (with a specific anti-codon) for a particular amino acid; and 'wobble' base-pairing, i.e. permitting non-standard base-pairing at the 3rd anti-codon position.
Source: RNAcentral
CCUGUAGCUCAGCAGGAUAGAGCAACUGCCUUCUAAGCAGUAGGUUGGGGGUUCGAGUCCCUCCAGGC